UGAAUACGAGAUGCUACGGCGUCGAAGCAGUCUAUGUCAUACUUCCAAGAAAAGCUCGCACUGUCAUAAACAAAUAAUGCCUGUACCAUAACCGACACAGGUGGGUAGGUAGAGUAUACUAAGGGGCGCGAGAUAACUCUCUCUAAGGAACUCGGCAAAAUGACUCCGUAACUUCGGGAGAAGGAGUGCCUUAUUUAUAAGGUUGCAAUAACAAGAUCCAAGCAACUGUUUAUCAAAAACACAGGUCUCCGCUAAGUCGUAAGACGAUGUAUGGGGGCUGACGCCUGCCCAGUGCCAGAAGGUUAAAGAAGUUGGUUAGCAUUCGCGAAGCUGAUAACUGAAGCCCUGGUGAACGGCGGCCGUAACGAUAACGGUCCUAAGGUAGCGAAAUUCCUUGUCGGGUAAGUUCCGACCCGCACGAAAGGCGUAAUGAUUUGGAUACUGUCUCGGAGAGGGGCUCGGUGAAAUAGACUUGUCUGUGAAGAUGCGGACUACCUGCACCAGGACGGAAAGACCCUAUGAAGCUUUACUGUAACUUGAGAUUGAAAUUGGACUUUACUUGCGCAGUAUAGGUGGGAGGCGUUGAUAAUAUUCUUGCGGGAUUAUUUGAGCCAUCAGUGAGAUACCACUCUUGUAAUGUUAGAUUUCUAACUUUGUAUCAUUAUCUGGUCAAAGGACAGUUUCAGGCGGGCAGUUUGACUGGGGCGGUCGCCUCCUAAACGGUAACGGAGGCGCACAAAGGUUUCCUCUGAACGGGUAGAAAUCGUAUCUAGAGUGUAAAGGCAUAAGGAAGCUUGACUGUGAGACCUACAAGUCGAGCAGGGACGAAAGUCGGUCUUAGUGAUCUGACGGUGCUGAGUGGAAAGGCCGUCACUCAACGGAUAAAAGUUACUCUAAGGAUAACAGGCUGAUCUCCCCCAAGAGUUCACAUCGACGGGGAGGUUUGGCACCUCGAUGUCGGCUCAUCGCAUCCUGGGGCGGUAGUACGUCCCAAGGGUUGGGCUGUUCGCCCAUGAAAGCGGUACGCGAGCUGGGUUCAGAACGUCGUGAGACAGUUCGGUCCAUAUCCGGUGUAGGCGUUAGAAUAUUGAGAGGAGCCUUCUUUAGUACGAGAGGACCGAGAAGGACAUACCUCUGGUGUACCAGUUAUCGUGCCAACGGUAAACGCUGGGUAGCUACGUAUGGAGUGGAUAACCGCUGAAAGCAUCUAAGUGGGAAGCCCACCUCAAGAUAAG
This 1235-nucleotide ribosomal RNA is filed under the name metagenome. Its description in RNAcentral is "bacterial LSU rRNA". It matches the Rfam family "Bacterial large subunit ribosomal RNA", at positions 1564 to 2808 of the family's 2925-position model. The record is from RNAcentral.